RNAcentral lists this unclassified non-coding RNA (406 nucleotides) under Hevea brasiliensis (rubber tree). Lineage: Eukaryota; Viridiplantae; Streptophyta; Magnoliopsida; Malpighiales; Euphorbiaceae. The record is from RNAcentral.
GUGCUUGUUUGUCCUUCAAAAGAUCAAUGCUUUCAUCAUUCUUAAAGUUGGCAGCGAGCCAAUCAACAACUCUCUUAUCAAAGUCAUCACCACCCAAAUGUGUAUCUCCUGAAGUAGAAAGCACUUCAAAAACUCCAUCACCAACCUCAAGCACAGAAACAUCAAAAGUGCCACCACCAAGGUCAAAUACUAGGAUGGUUUCAUUGUUCUUCUUUUCAAACCCAUAUGCCAAUGAAGCAGCAGUGGGUUCAUUGAUUAUUCGAAGAACAUCCAGCCCAGCAAUUCGGCCAGCAUCUUUUGUCGCUGUCCUUUGGGAAUCAUUGAAGUAAGCAGGCACUGUGACCACAGCUUUGGUCACUUUAUCAUUCAAAAACUUCGAGGCAUCGUCCACAAGCUUCCUCAAAAC